UACAGGGGUGAGCCACCAUACCUGGGUCUUGUGCUAAUUUAAAACUUACAAGUAUUAUUAAAACUCAAUGAUGGGCCAGGCGCAGUCGCUCAUGCCUGUAAUCCCAGCACUUUGGGAGGCCGAGGCAGGCAGAUUGCUUGAGGUCAGGAGUUUAUGACCAGCCUGGCCAAGAUGGUGAAACCCUGUCUCCAUUAAAAAUACAUAAAUUAGCCAGGUAUGGUGUCGUGGUGUCGCACAUCUGUAAUCCCAGCUACUCGGGAGGCUGAGGCAGGAUAAUCACUUGAAUCCGGGAGGCGGAGGUUGCAGUGACCCAAGAUCCUGCCACUGCACUCCAGCCUAGAAAAAAAAAGAUAAAAACAAAACAAAACAAAAAAACUCAAUGAUGACCAAAAGUUUGUGUUUAAAAUUGAAAACAGUGAGAACUGAAAAGUGUAAUAUUUUUGUUUGCUAAGAGCAAAUUUUAGUAAUCCCAUCACUUUGGAAGGCCGAGGCAGGUGGAUUACCUGAGGUCAGGAGUUUGAGACCAGCCUGGUCAACAUGGUGAAACCCUGUCUCUACUAAAAUACAAAAAAUUAGCCAGGUGUGGUGGCACAUGCCUAUAAUCCCAGCUACUCGGGAGGCUGAGGCAGGAGAAUUGCUUGAACCUGGGAGGUGGAGGUUGCAGUGAGCCAAGAUCGCGCCACUGCACCCCAGCCUGGGCAACAAGAGUAAAACUCAGUCUCAAAAAAAAAAAAAAAAAAGAAAGAGCAAAUUUUAAUUCAAACAUGAAGUGUUUUACCAAAUUUAAAUAAUAUAUUUAAAAGUUAAAGUUAAUGAGCUGGGCGUGGUGGAAGACGCCUGUAAUCCCAGCUACUCGGGAGGACUAAGUAGGAGAAUCACUUGAACCCGGGAGGCAGAGGUUGCAGUGAGCCAAGAUUGCGCCACUGCACUCCAGCCUGGGUGACGAGCAAAACUCCGUCUUGAAAAAAAAAAAGUUAAAGUUAUCCUUUUCAUUUUUUCACUUUUUUAUUUUUAUUUAUUUAUUUUUUUUAGAUGGAGUCUCGCUCUGUCGCCCAUGCUGGAGUGCAGUGGUGCGAUCUCAGCUCACUGCAACCUCCGCCUCUCGAGUUCAAGCGAUUCUCCUGCCUCAGCCUCCUGAAUAGCUGGGACUACAGGUGCCUGCCGCCACACCCGGCUAAUUUUUGUAGUUUUAGUAGAGACAGGAUUUCACCAUGUUGGCCAGGCUGGUCUAGAACUCCUGACCUCAAGUGAUCCACCCGCCUCAGCAUCCUGUCUCUAUGACUUUGACUACUAAUUUGGUAACUCAUGUAGAGUCUCGCACUGUCGCCCAUACUAGAGGGCAGUAGCACGGUCUCGGCUCACUGCAACCUCCGCCUCCCGGGUUCAAGCAAUUCUCCUGCCUCAGCCUCCCGAGUAGCUGGGAUUACAGGUGCUUGCCACCAUGCCCGGCUAAUUUUUUUUGUAUUUUUAAUAGAGACAGGGUUUCACUAUGUUGGCCAGGCUGGUCUCAAGCUCCUGACCUUGUGAUCUGCCUGCCGUGGCCUCCCAAAGUGCUGGGAUUACAGGCAUGAGCUACCACCCCCAGCCUGUGAUUUGCAUUUCUCUAACGAUUAGUGAUACUGAGCAUCUUUUCCUGUGUUUAUGGGCUAUUUGUGUAUCUUUUUUGGAGAAAUGCCUAUUUAAAUUGUCAUUUGCCUGUUUUUUAAUUGGGUUGUUUUUGUGUUGUUGAGUUUCAGGAGUUCUUCAUAUAGUGUGGAUAUUAAUUGCUUAUCAGAUAUGAUUUACAAAUAUUUUCUCCUACACUGUGUGUUGUCUUUUCACUCUUUUUUUUUUUUUUUUUUUUUUUUGAGACAGUCUUGCUCUGUCGCCCAGGCUGGAGUGCAGUGGCACGAUCGCAGCUCACUGCAGGCUCCGCCUCUCAGGUUCAUGCCAUUCUCCAGCCUCAGCCUCCCAAGCAGCUGGGACUACAGGCACCUGCCACCUCACCUGGCUAAUUUUUUGUAUUUUUAGUAGAGACAGAGUUUCACCAUGUUAGCCAGGAUGGUCUCGAUCUCCUGACCUCGUGAUCCACCCGCCUUGGCCUCCCAAAGUGCUGGGAUUACAGGCGUGAGCCACCGUGCCCGGCUGUCUUUUCAUUCUCUUGAUAGUCCUUUUUUUUUUUUUUCUGGAGAUGGGGUCGCACUCUGUCGCCCAUGCUGGAGUACAGUGGUGUGAUCACAGCUCACGUUAGCCUCAACCUCUCAGGCUCAAGUGAUCCUCCUGCCUCAGCCUCCCAAGUAGCUGGGACUACAGGCAUGCACCACCAUGCCUGGCUAAUUUUUGUAUUUUUUGUACAGAUGGUGUUUCACCAUGUUACCCUGGCUUGUCUCGAAUUCCUGGGCUCAAGUGAUCCUCACGCCUCAGCCUCCCAAAGUGUUAGUGAGAGGUGACAGCGUGCUGGCAGUCCUCACAGCCCUCGCUCACUCUCGGCGCCUCCUCUGCCUGGGCUCCCACUUUGGCAGCACUUGAGGAGCCCUUCAGCCCACGGCUGCACUGUGGGAGCCCCUUUCUGGGCUGGCCAAGACCGUGCGCCCGCACUCCUCAGCCCUUGGGUGGUCGAUGGAACUGGGCACCAUGGAACAGGGGGUGGCACUCAUCAGGGAGGCUCGGGCCACACAGGAGCCCACAGAGGGGGUGGGAGGCUCAGGCAUGGUGUGGGACUGGCAGGCAGCUCCACCUGCAGCCCUGGCGCGGGAUUCCUGGGUGAAGCCAGCUGGGCUCCUGAGCCUGGUGGGGACGUGGAGAACCUUUAUGUCUAGCUCAGGGAUUGUAAAUACACCAAUCAGCACCCUGUGUCUAGCUCAGGGUUUGUGAAUGCACCAAUCGACACUCUGUAUAUAGCUAAUCUGGUGGGGCCUUAGAGAACCUUUGUGUGGACACUCUGUAUAUAGCUAAUCUGGUGGGGACUUGGAGAACCUUUGUGUCUAGCUCAGGGAUUGUAAACGCACCAAUCAGCGCCCUGUCAAAACAGACCACUCAGCUCUACCAAUCAGCAGGAUGUGGGUGGGGGCCAGAUAAGACAAUAACAGCAGGCUGCCCCAGCCAUCAGUGGCAACCCGCUGGGGUCCCCUUCCACACUGUGGAAGCUCUGUUCCUUCGGUCUUUGCAAUAAAUCCUGCUACUGCUCACUCUUUGGGUCCACACUGCCUUUAUGAGCUGUAACACUCACCGGGAAGGUCUGCAGCUUCACUCCUGAAGCCAGCGAGACCACGAGCCCACCGGCAGGAACGAACAACUCCAGACGCGCAGCCUUAAGAGCUGUAACACUCACCGCCAAGGUCUGCAGCUUCACUCCUGAGCCAGCGAGACCACGAACCCACCAGAAGGAAGAAACUCCGAACACAUCUGAACAUCAGAAGGAACAAACUCCAGACACGCCACCUUUAAGAACUGUAACACUCACCGUGAGGGUCCACGGCUACAUUCUUGAAGUCAGUGAGACCAAGAACCCACCAAUUCCGGACACGUUAGAAUUACAGGCAUGAGUCACCAUGCCUGGCCUUCCCCUGUUUUCUUCUAAGAGUUUUAUUGUUUUAACUCUUAAGUUUAGGUCUUUGAUCAUUUUGGGUUCAUUUUUGUAUGGCAAUUAAUUUUUAAAAAUUCACUUCUGUGAAAACUUGUUCAAGAGCAGGAUUCAUCCUAGCACUUUGGGAGGCCAAGGCGGGCAGAUCACUUGAGGUCAGGAGUUCGAGACCAGCCUGGCCAACAUGGUGAGACCCAGUCACUACUAAAAAAUACAAAAAUUAGCCAGGCGUGGUGGCACAUACCUAUAAUCCCAGCUACUCUGGAGGCUGAGGCAGGAGAAUCACUUGAACCCCGGAGGCGGAGGUUGCAGUGAGCUGAGAUCACGCCACUGUGCUCCAGACUGCGUGACAGAGUGAGACUCCAUCUCAAAAAAAAGAGAGCAGAAUUCAACCCCUGAGCCACCUGUUUGCCACCUUGGCUUUAGAUGCUUUUUUUUUUUUUUUUUUUUUUGGUCUGAGAUGGAGUCUUGCUCUGUCCCCCAGGCUGGUGUGCAGUGGGGCAAUCUCGGCUCACUGCAGCCUCUGCCUCCUGGGUUCAAGCAAUUUUCCUGCCUCAGCCUCCCAAGUAGCUGGGAUUAUAGGUUCACACCACCAGUCCCGGCUAUUUUUUGUAUUUUUAGUAGAGACUGGGUUUCCACCAUGUUGGCCAGGCUGGUCACAGACUCUUGACCUCAAGUGAUCCACCUGCCUCGGCCACCCAAAGUGUUGGGAUUACAGGUGCGAGCCACCGCACACGGCUAGAUGCUGGUAUUCCUCAGGGUUGAUCAUUUUCUCUUCUUACUCACAGUUCUGAAAUUAAUCACAUCAAUUCUGAGGACUUAAAUUAUUGCCUUGGUGAGAGGCUGUAUGGUGUGGUUAAGAGCAUAGAUCCGGAGCUGGACUACUGGAGUUGGAACCUUAGCUCUGGCACUUAGUUACUGUGUAACUUUGAUUACUGUACACAACUGUUUUUUGGUCUUAUGUUGUCCAAGGCACUGCCUGGGAUUACAGGCAUUAGCCACUGCACCCGACCUGCACACAACCUUUUGUUCCCUCAUCUGUAAAAUGGCAAGAGUGAAGGCACAUACCUCAUAGGGUUGUUGUGAGGAAUCAAUAAGUAAAUGUACAUAAAGAUCCAACAGUAAGUUCUCAAUAAGUGGUAAAUAGCAUUCAUUGUCUUUUUUUUUUUUUUUUUGAGAUGGAGUUUCACUCUUCUUACCCAGGCUGGGGUGCAAUGGCAUGGUCUUGGCUCACUGCAACCUCCACCUCCAGGGUUCAAGCAAUUCUCCUGUCUCAGCCUGCCAGGUAGCUGGGAUUACAGGCAUGCGCCACCAUACCUGGCUAAUUUUUGUAUUUUUAGUAGAGACUGGGUUUCACCACGUUGGCCAGGCUGGUCUCGAACUCCUGACCCACCCGCCUCGGCCUCCCAAGGUGCUGAGAUUACAGGCAUGCGCCACCGCACCCAGCCUCAUUGUCAUCUUUAAGCUGAUGUCAUCUUAGGCUUUCAAGUAAGAAUCCAUCCAGUCCAGGCCAGGCACGGUGGCUCACGCCUAUAAUCCCAGCACUUUGGGAGACUGAGGUGGUGGGGCGGUGGGGGUGGAUCACCUGAGGCCAGGAGUUCGAGACCAGCCUGGCCCACAUGGUGAAAACCUGUCUCUACUAAAAAUACAAAAAAUUAGCCGGGUGUGAUGGCUCAUGCCUGUAAUCCCAGAUACUUCGGAGGCUGAAGCAGGAGAAUCCUUGAAUCCAGGAGGUAGAGGUUGCAGUGAGCCAAGAUCACGCCAUUGCACUCCAUCCUGGGCGACAAGAGCGAAAUUCUGUCUCAAAAAAAAAGAAUCUCUCAGGUCCAGACUUCUUUCCUGAGGUUGACAGCACAUCAACUGGAUGUCUUGCUAGUGUCACCACUCAACAAGUCCAAAACUGACAUCUCUGACAUAUCUGUGACUCCGUCCCCAGUGCCCUCACCCUAACCCAGGCUGCUAUCAUUUCUGCCAUCCUGAAAAGAGAAACAAGGUCUUCAAUCUAGUCUCCGUACAGUAGCCACAAGCCUGUUCAGGACACUCCCCUGCCUAAAUUCCUCCCGGGGCCUUCUCAUUGCUCUUAGAAUAAAAGGCACAUUCUGUCUGGCGGCUUCCUGGGGGCUUCCUCACCCUGUCGCUCUCUUCCUCUCUUCUCUGUAUUCCCACCCUCCUGGACUUGCCUCCUCACCUCCUCUCCGAGCCUCAGGGCCGUUGCACAAGCUGUUCCUUCUGCCUGGAACGCUCUCUCCUGCUGUCCCACUUUAGUUGGCUGAUGACUGUUCAAAUCUUAAAUAUCAUGUUUUCCAGGAGACCUUCUUAAACCCCAGUGUUCUUUACCUACCCUAGCACAACAAACACCUCAUUGUAACUGUUUAUCUAUUAAAUGCGCCUCUGCCAAAAUAUGAGUCAGAAGAACAGGAACAUUUGUUGUGUUCUCCACUGUGUCCUUCCCUAGCCCAGUGCCUGGCAUGCAGUAGGUGCUGUCUGUGUAUAAUACAUAGCUGAUGGAGAGAAAUGCAAGACGUGGGAGCCAGAAUUAUCGCAGGAGUUGGGGAGACUAACAGGGAAGAAGCAUUUUUCUGGUGCAGUGUGAGGCAGGCAGGGAUGUUGCCAAACGUCCCGGAAGCUGGGCAGGAAUCAGGCACUGAGGGCUUUGUAUCCUGAUAGGCUGGGAUGCUUGUUCUUCCUCCUGUGGCAUGGAAAACCACAGAAGGGUUUUCAGUCGGGAGGUAAUAUGACUGCAGGUGAAGCACCAGCCAGCCAGGGUGUGGCAGCAGGUGGGCAAGAUUGGAGACAGGGAGCCAGUUAAGAAGCUGUGGCAGUAAAAAGUGCCUGGAAGGAAACACUGAGAACUGGGGGCUGAGCGCAGUGGCUCACACCUGUAAUUCCAGCAAUUUGGGAGGUUGAGGCGAGAGCAUCGCUUGAGCCCAGGAGUUCGAGACCAGCCUGGGCAACAUAGCUAAUCCCUGUCUCUGCAAAAAAAUCAGGAAAUUAGCCCAGCAUCGUGGCACGCACCUGUAGUCCCAACUACGUAGGAGGCUGAGGUGGGAGGAUCACUUGAACCACUUGAACCCAGGAGGUCGAGGCUGCAGUGAGCCAAGAUCUUGCCACUACACUCCAGCCUGGGGGACAGAGCAAGACCCUUCUCAACAGAAAAAGGGGGGAAAAAAGAGAAACACUCCAAUUCCCCACUUAAAGCUACUGGAAAAUAACCUGGAAGAUAUAUCUGGACAGUGCUGCUGGAUUGCAAACAUCAAAACACAGGUCCCUGUUAUAAAGGAGGAUUUCAGAAAACCAAUAAAUAAUUUUUUAGUAUGUCCCAAAUAUGGCAUUGGACAUACUUACAUUAAACAAUUAUUUAUUGUUUACCUGAAAUUCACCUUGCAUUGGGCAUUCUGUAUUUUAUCUGGCAACUAUACCCACUGACUUUUCUUCUUCUGACUAUACUGCUAGACUCUUCCCCAAAUUUUAUCUUGAAUGAUUUCUUUUCUUUUAUUUAUUUAUUUUUUUUGAGAUGGAGUCUCGCUCUGUCACCAGGCUGGAGUGCAGUAGUAUGAUUUCGACUCACUGCAACCUCCACCUCCUGGAUUCAAUCAAUUCUCCUGGCUCACUCAGCCUUUGGAGUAGCUGGGAUUACAGGCAUGCACCACC
Molecule: long non-coding RNA, 7213 nt
Filed under: Homo sapiens (human)
Lineage: Eukaryota; Metazoa; Chordata; Mammalia; Primates; Hominidae
Description: HSALNT0004897
Source: RNAcentral